RNAcentral lists this ribosomal RNA (253 nucleotides) under uncultured bacterium. RNAcentral's name for it is "partial 16S ribosomal RNA". It matches the Rfam family "Bacterial small subunit ribosomal RNA", at positions 524 to 776 of the family's 1533-position model. The record is from RNAcentral.
UACGAAGGGGGCUAGCGUUGUUCGGAAUCACUGGGCGUAAAGCGCACGUAGGCGGAUCUUUAAGUCAGAGGUGAAAUCCCAAGGCUCAACCUUGGAACUGCCUUUGAUACUGCGAAUCUCGAGUCCGAUAGAGGUGGGUGGAAUUCCUAGUGUAGAGGUGAAAUUCGUAGAUAUUAGGAAGAACACCGGUGGCGAAGGCGGCCCACUGGAUCGGUACUGACGCUGAGGUGCGAAAGCGUGGGGAGCAAACAGG